This 229-nucleotide ribosomal RNA is filed under the name uncultured bacterium. Its description in RNAcentral is "partial 16S ribosomal RNA". It matches the Rfam family "Bacterial small subunit ribosomal RNA", at positions 568 to 796 of the family's 1533-position model. The record is from RNAcentral.
UACGUAGGCGGAAAAUUAAGUCAGUAGUGAAAUCCUGCAGCUUAACUGUAGAACUGUUAUUGAUACUGGUUUUCUUGAAUAUAGUUGUGGUAGGCGGAAUGUGUAAUGUAGCGGUGAAAUGCUUAGAUAUUACACAGAACACCGAUUGCGAAGGCAGCUUACUAAGCUAUGAUUGACGCUGAGGUACGAAAGCGUGGGGAGCGAACAGGAUUAGAUACCCUGGUAGUCC